Bufo bufo (common toad) is the source of this 992-nucleotide long non-coding RNA. RefSeq lists it as uncharacterized. Lineage: Eukaryota; Metazoa; Chordata; Amphibia; Anura; Bufonidae. The transcript is spliced from 3 exons. The record is from RefSeq and is a predicted model, not a curated record.
GCAGAUAACAUGUCCUGACUUAUUCCUGCAGCUUCUGUGAAUUAUAAGAAGCAACGUGACUCACAGGUGUUACGUCUGGGCGAAACGCAAACACGUGUCCCGGGGCUCUGGGAUUCUCAGUUCCUUUUCUUUUCCGAGGAACUUAUUUUACUGCGGUCAUUGUUUAACCACAUGGUUAUUAAUAGCAGUUGAAGAGGUCAAGAAUUGUUGGCGGAGCUGCCAGGACCAAUUCAGAAUAGAAAUGAAGCAUCAUGGGCGGAGUGGUUCCGGGCCACCCAAGAAAAGGCCCUAUAUAUUCAAGGAGCAGCUGAUGUUCCUCCGUGACGUCAUGGAGCUGCGUCCAACGGAGGACAACCUAGAGGAGGAAGGGGAAGAGUCGGUUCCGCAGCUAUCAAGCGCCUGCGAAGAAGACACUACUACUGGGGCCGUGCAGAUGGAGAAUGUGGCAGGAGCCAGCACGUCAGACCCAUCCGGCCCAGACGACGGCCAGUGCCUCCUGCCGAGACUCAUGUGAACACGCAGGUUCUUAAAUAUUCAUCUCGAGCUUUGCAGGGGGAUCAUCACGAUCUAUUUGGCCGGGGUCUGGCCCAUUAUAUGUGCCAGCUGCCUCCAGAACGAUUACUGAGAACCAGACGGUCUCUCGAAAUCGUUCUGGAGGCAGCCACUCCCCCCACGACCCUACAGAAAUGUUUUCCGCCCUGGAAAACGUGAGCCUCCAUUGGCACAUGUUUGGCCCCCACCCAAUGCCACUUUCACAGGGCUCACAGGGUCACCAACAAUUCCCUCCUCAAAGGGAUUUUUAUCCCUUUAUUUUAUUUAUGGGCCACAGUAUCAGGGGCAAUCUAUGUAUGGCCAGCAUGUCCCCUCCUCCUCGCAAGUUGGGCCAUCCCAGUAUUCCGGGCCCCCCUCCCAACAGACCCAAACACCCUACCCUGGGCCUCAGUAUCAGGGCCCCCCCCCCUCGCCAUCUGGGCGUUAUGUUAAUUUAUAAU